Molecule: long non-coding RNA, 816 nt
Filed under: Brassica rapa (field mustard)
Lineage: Eukaryota; Viridiplantae; Streptophyta; Magnoliopsida; Brassicales; Brassicaceae
Description: long non-coding RNA (BRAP_LNC005733)
Source: RNAcentral
UUUUCUUCAGGACUCUAUUGAAUAUAUAUGAUUUUUUCCUCGUUUUUGUGAUGGUUCAUGUGUUUUUUGAUGUGAGUCUCCCAUUGAUGCUUUUGGUUUUAUGUGUUUGUGUUUUAUAAACUUUUUGUGUGUAUAAUAAAGAUUAUAUAGAAAUCAUGGCAUACAUAUUCUAGAAAAGGGAAAAUCAGUAUUUCUAAAGACUUUUUCCUUCGUAUUCCCUGCAUAUUUCUACAUUGUCGAGAACAUGUAAAACUAAACUGAAGACUUUCUCCUUCGUAUUCUUUACAAUAUAUGAGUAAGUGAUCUUGCACUUAAAUCGCUGACAAAUAAUUUUUGGAAAUUUUGAAAGAUCUAACAUCUACUUCUUAUUCAAAACACUUCAUAAAAAACUCUAAAACUCUCGAACUCAAGCCAACAAUCAAUGUUAAAUUUCACAAAUAUUACCUCUCUUCAAUAUUAUAAGAAACUAUUAUAUACUAUUAUUUGCGAAUUGAUUUUUCGCAUUUGAGUCCUCACGUUAAAAGAUAGAGUGAUUAAUAUCGUUCAUACCUUUAAUGAAUAAAAUAUAUAAAUUAGCAACAAAAUAAAAACGAAUUUAAAUUGUUUUGAUUCAAUAAGUGAUUAAAAUUAAUAAUAAUAAGAAAACCUAAUAUAUUUUUUUAAAAAUAAAAGAUAAUUCAUAUAUAUAUUGUGUUGUUAUCUGAAAAUACCUUGUAAUAAGAAAGUUAAAUUUAAAAAAAAAAAAACAGAAAACACAUAACUAAACAUUAAUCAAGUAAAAUUAUUAAUUUGAUAUAACUGAAAAGAGAACACUUA